UAUUCUUGGGCCUUCCUAUAUUUCUUAACCUGAUGUGGGACAGACAGAAGAACAUCUGCAGUUUGUGAUGGCAACCGAAGGUUACACCAUUCCAGUGCAUGUGCUGCGCAUCAAAUGGCCCACACACAAGUCAAGAAACCAAUAACAUUUACUAAAGCUGCACUAUGGAACAAAAAGCGUCCUGUGUCGUUGGUAAGAUGUUACCACAGUGCCAUCUACAGGCGAGCUGAAAAGAGUAACACACUCAGCUGAGGAUUUGGCUGGCUAGCUCUUCUGAAGAGCCUUGUAGGUGACAUGAGAAGCUCACUGCCCGAGGCCCAGCUCUGCAAUCCUUUCUCAUACCCAGUUGCCUCCUGGAUUCCAUUGACACCACCUGCAUGACAAGCUGUGCGAGAUGUAGAGGGCCAAACACCAGCCUACAGCCUCCUGUUUUAUCCUCUACAAAAAGAGACUCUGCUGGGGAUGUAAAACGGAGUUCUGAAUGUUUCAGUGCUGGAAGGGGCAAAUGCUCACCAGAGAACUCCACGGCGGGACUCUUCACUUCUGCUUUAUUAGGAAUACAGGGAAACAAAAGGACUCGAAGCAGGUAAGUUUCAAUAACACGACAGUGCCCCGAAAGGUGUUAUAAGCCUGGUUUCCAGAGACAUUGAGUACCUGCAGCUCCCCCUGACUUCGGUAGGAAUUGUGGGUGUUCAGCACCUCUGAAAAUCAGGCCCCACAAUUGAGCUGAAUCCAACCUACUUCUGCCUUCCUGAAACCCAGCUCCAUGUCUUUUCCUCUGCCUGCCCGAGGUGGAGCUGUUUCCCCUGCCUCAACAACAGCAGGACAAUAUUGGAGAAUAUUUAUGUCUGUAGAUGUGAUCCAAGAGUCAUGACACCUAAUCUUUGGUUGUGUGAAAAGGAUCUUCUUUCCUUUGUCCCUAUCCACCAGGGGGAGGGAAUGAAGGAUACAGUGACCUUAAUUGCAUUCUCCUGAGAGCCAUCUGCAGGCCUUGCAAAGAGCUAGUCACCCCUCAGCUAAU
This is a non-coding RNA of Chrysemys picta bellii (western painted turtle), 1021 nucleotides long. Lineage: Eukaryota; Metazoa; Chordata; Testudines; Emydidae. The record is from RefSeq and is a predicted model, not a curated record.